CUCCAGUUGGAUCAGGGUGGCUUAUAUCACAGUAUCAAGGACUGUUCCACAAAAUUCAGAGCAGCUGGUUGAGGCUGGUUUCACUGGAGGCCAACAGUUUUCAUGCACUCCUGGUCACACAAGUGAGUCACCAUGACAAACAGUGAAGAGCAGGACAAGAAUUUACAGUAAUACGCAGUUGCUCAAUUUAGAUCCCUUGUGACCCUGAUGGAGCAUGUGACAAGACAAACAACAGAAAGGGCACUACUAUGGCAGAUAUAUGCUGCGUGUCAUGAUAUUUUAUGGAACAAAAUGAAGCUGUGGGUUAAAGGAUGCUGUCAUGGAGCUAACAAACUUUCUAGUGACUUGAAGGCUUUGAAAAAGUAUGAAGUAAAGAAGUAACAAAAAGAAUCCUGAAGCUCCUGAACUAGAUCUAAGAGUGCACUUCCAGAUUUAAAUUUGGAAAGUCUCUUCCCCUUGUAUGCACCCUCAAGUGUGACCUUGCAAUUUAAAAAGGCAAGGGGGUGAGAGAGACAACUGACAAAGGAAGCUUAUAAAUGAGAUUUAACUAAGGGAUAUAAUCACUAUGUGUGAUUGAUAAAUGUAGUGAGUUAAAUAACUACACUGGGAAAGUAAAGAGAAAAGUAAAAGACUGAGGUGUUCAGAUACCUCAAUUAGGCUCCUAAAUUCACUUUAGACUUUUCCUUCCUUCUUUAUGUCCUUGUGACAAAGUACUUCAGCAGAAUUUUCAGAUUCAUUGGAAUCUGACAGGACUACACUGUGAGAGCUUCUGCUGUGGUCUUGAACUUUGGACUUCUGGACGGUCAACUAUGCAUCUAGCACUCAUACCACUUCAACCCCUAUCACUUUUGGCUACAUCAGAAUAA
This is a long non-coding RNA of Gavialis gangeticus (Gharial), 866 nucleotides long. RefSeq lists it as uncharacterized. The record is from RefSeq and is a predicted model, not a curated record. Lineage: Eukaryota; Metazoa; Chordata; Crocodylia; Gavialidae. The transcript has 3 exons.